GGGGAAUAUUGCACAAUGGGCGAAAGCCUGAUGCAGCAACGCCGCGUGAGUGAUGAAGGUCUUCGGAUUGUAAAGCUCUGUCUUUUGGGACGAUAAUGACGGUACCAAAGGAGGAAGCCACGGCUAACUACGUGCCAGCAGCCGCGGUAAUACGUAGGUGGCGAGCGUUGUCCGGAUUUACUGGGCGUAAAGGGUGCGUAGGCGGAUGUUUAAGUGAGAUGUGAAAUACCCGGGCUUAACUUGGGUGCUGCAUUUCAAACUGGAUAUCUAGAGUGCAGGAGAGGAGAAUGGAAUUCCUAGUGUAGCGGUGAAAUGCGUAGAGAUUAGGAAGAACACCAGUGGCGAAGGCGAUUCUCUGGACUGUAACUGACGCUGAGGCACGAAAGCGUGGGUAGCAAAC
Molecule: ribosomal RNA, 400 nt
Filed under: uncultured bacterium
Lineage: Bacteria
Description: bacterial SSU rRNA
Rfam family: Bacterial small subunit ribosomal RNA
Source: RNAcentral